GGGAACUCAAAGGAGACUGCCAGUGAUAAACUGGAGGAAGGUGGGGAUGACGUCAAGUCAUCAUGGCCCUUACGACCAGGGCUACACACGUGCUACAAUGGCGCAUACAAAGAGAAGCGACCUCGCGAGAGCAAGCGGACCUCAUAAAGUGCGUCGUAGUCCGGAUUGGAGUCUGCAACUCGACUCCAUGAAGUCGGAAUCGCUAGUAAUCGUGGAUCAGAAUGCCACGGUGAAUACGUUCCCGGGCCUUGUACACACCGCCCGUCACACCAUGGGAGUGGGUUGCAAAAGAAGUAGGUAGCUUAACCUUCGGGAGGGCGCUUACCACUUUGUGAUUCAUGACUGGGGUGAAGUCGUAACAAGGUAACCGUAGGGGAACCUGC
Molecule: ribosomal RNA, 383 nt
Filed under: Salmonella enterica subsp. enterica serovar Infantis
Lineage: Bacteria; Pseudomonadati; Pseudomonadota; Gammaproteobacteria; Enterobacterales; Enterobacteriaceae
Also listed under: 11 other names
Description: bacterial SSU rRNA
Rfam family: Bacterial small subunit ribosomal RNA
Source: RNAcentral